CUCCCCUAUUCAGGCGGACCCUCGGGGGUCUCCCCUAAACCACGGGCCCGGUUCUUUGUGCGUUUUCGGGGUCCCCGUCUCCACCCUUGUACCGUUCUAUGAGCUCCCGCUUUGUUUACUCCUGGGUCUGGGGGGGAAGGGAGGGCAACGGGGAGCCCCCCCUGACAGAAUGCUCCGGGACCCCUGUUUUCCCCGAUGAAGUAAAAACCCCAGGGAGUCAAACCUUUCACCCUUCUGCGGAUCUUGGUGAGACCCCUUUGUGUAUUUGUUUUCCCACCUGAGCGGUAAGAGGCUCCUCCCUCGGCUCCCGCCUUCAUCCUGCCGAAGUGACAGGGUAGCGGGAGGGAUGCGGGGGGAAGGAGGAAGCUCCCGCGCUCUCCUCCGUCCCGCCGCAGCCCGGCCGGGCAGGGCGGGAAGCGGGCCCACCGCGAGCGGUUUCCAGGGAAAACGCCGCCCCGGGUCCGCACGUGGCGGGGCGGGGAGAGGCGGCGGCGCGGGGUUAAUUAGCGCGGGCAGAAGUUGUGGUGCCACGGUGUCCUGGACUUGUGAGUCCCGGCGUGUCCCGGGUGGGAUAUGUCUAGUGAGGCGCUUCAUGCCUAUAACGGGAAGCGGGUAUGACGGGUGACUAGCUCGAAGUUUUCUGUGAGGUGGUACUUCCCCUCCCCCGGGGUGAUGGAAAGAUUUUGUUCCGAAUAGGUCGCCUCAGGCUGUAACUUCGCUGAUGGGUGUAACCUUUGAAGCCGCGUUACGUAAACUGCGAGGUGUGCGCAGUGCUCGAGUAGUGAAAGUGAAGCAUAGCUGUUACCUGACAGGAAAGGCACCGAAUGUGUGGUACAUUUCAGGAAAAGUGACUGCGAAGAUGAAUCUUCUUACAGCAGAUGAGUGAACUUAAAGCGUUCACCUAAGCUGAGUAAUGCAGGGCAGUGAGAUUUCUGCCUCAAAGGAGAUAAAGUGUGUAUCUUUACAAACAUGUGGAAGAAACUUAAAAAAUAGUAAUCUAACUGUUAACCAGGAGGCAAGCAUUGCUGGCUAGAUACUAAGCUUAGAUUUUUGAACCAAUAGCAAAUGACUAGAUUUUUGUGGUCUACAGAUCGGUGAGUGUGAGCACUUGUGAGGGCUGAUCUCUAAGGAACAUUAUGUCCAAAUAUGUGUUUUUGUGUAGGGGCCAAAUCAAGGAACAAGAGUCUUGAAGUUCUGUAACCUGCUUGGCUUUUUUCUGUGCUAGCACACUUCUUUGGGUAUAGAUGUUUAUAUGGGACAAACCCGAGGUUUUUACCCCAAAUUCUUUAUCUGAGAAUCAGGGAAGAUGAGUCUGUAAUGAGUUGUGCUUUUCUGUGUAGUCUGACAGUGGCCAGACCAAUUAGUGUGAACGUUUUAGUUAGCAGAUGUCUUGCUUGAGAAAACGGGAUAGUGAAAUAUUAUAGCUGAAAUUGCCUACAUAAGCAGCAUUUGUGAGUUUGGUACUUAGUAUAUCCAGUUUAGGACACAGUUGGGAUCAUGUUCAGUGAAGAGUUAGGGAAUUGUUUUUUAUAGUUUCACUCCCCGUAAAUGUUAAUUUUCUUGUAAUUACCAUAAUUAAUUCUGAAGUUUCCUUCUUGAUUAUGGGUUGCUUUCCUGUUUCCAUGGUGCUUAUAAGAAAAAAGGUCAGAAGGGUUGCUCUUGCACAAGUAAAACUGGAUAUUGAGAACGUGAAACUAAAUAACUUAAUUCUCUUAGGGCUAUGAUAAAAUAAAAUAAUAUUUAUUUUAAUAUUAAGAAUAAAAAAGGUUACUUUAGUUAGAUGUGAGAUGAACAGAAAGCAGUGAAAUGAGGUGAAAUCUUUUAAAGCCCCUGAAGAUUGCUCUGUGUGUUGUAAAAAAUACUAUCUGGGCAAAAUCCUUUUCUUAUUUGGUUAGCGCUCUGUAUGAUUAAAUCUGUACAGUCUGCUAGUAGAACUGUGAUCCCGUUACUAAAUACUACUUACUGUAGUCUCUCCAGAAACUUCUAGAAACUCUUGGAUCUUGCAAGUGGUGAGAUGCCUGGCUAAUGUCCUCCUGAAAAUGGGAGGUAUAUGAGGUUAUAAGGAUGUAGAAACUUAAGUGAGUCAUUGUUUAUGGGCUGAAUUUCAACAGCAUCACGUUCUUAGCUUGCAGCAGAGAACAAUUUCAGCUAAGAUUUUGAGCUGGAGCCAUUAUUUUGCAGUUUUUUUAGGAGUAUUUGUGUCCAGUUAAUGUGCUAUAUUAUAGUUCGCUGUUGUGUGGUCUUCAAAGACAAAUGCAAGCACUUAAGUGGUCAGAACUUCUCAUUUCUGUUUUUAAGGGUUAAAACACCCUAGAACUACUGGAGGAAAUCUAGGGUUGUCAUUAAGUACUUUCUAUUACUGUCGUGUUGGUGUAGUACUUUGUAUUAUAUUGGGUUUUUUUCUUGUAAAUGCCAGGAGUACUACUAAUGCCAGCACUACUUUGUUGAAUGGGCUGGCGUCUUUUCUUUCACUGCCAGGAGGACCUACCAUUCACAUGUGACACCGAAGGUUGACCAAGCAAUAUCUACUGUUUGUGGAAGAUAAGAACUAAUGUCUUUUGUUGGCUUCUCUCAUCCCAUCCCACCCUGCUGGAAUUUGAGUUUGGUGAAAGUUUGUAUAUGAUUGCUGUUAAAAAAAUCCAUUAUCUCAGUAUCCUUUCCAUAGUGCUUACCAAAGCAGGGGAAAAAAGACAUUGGAGCCCAGAGGUUUCUUUGACAGUAUAUAUAGGAGUCAGUGACUGAAACAACUUCUGUGGUCAUUAACCUUAUUGGUGAGGAAACCACUCCUAACCUGUUUCAUGGGAGACUGAAGUCAGCGGGAGGAGGUGUCCUCACAAGCUGCAGAUAGCCAUUUGCUCUCGCUGGCACCACUGUUGCUGAACAUCACUUGCCUUUGCUAUAGGAGCCCAUAC
Molecule: long non-coding RNA, 2912 nt
Organism: Parus major (Great Tit)
Lineage: Eukaryota; Metazoa; Chordata; Aves; Passeriformes; Paridae
Exons: 3
Source: RefSeq, a predicted model, not a curated record